UUUUGUACUUUUUUUUUUUU
This 20-nucleotide microRNA is filed under the name Corchorus olitorius. RNAcentral describes it as "ssc-miR-36". The record is from RNAcentral. Lineage: Eukaryota; Viridiplantae; Streptophyta; Magnoliopsida; Malvales; Malvaceae.